GGGUUGUGAGGUUAAGCGACUAAGCGUACACGGUGGAUGCCCUGGCAGUCAGAGGCGAUGAAGGACGUGCUAAUCUGCGAAAAGCGCCGGCGAGGUGAUAUGAACCUUUGACCCGGCGAUGUCCGAAUGGGGAAACCCAGUGUGAUUCGUCACACUAUCGUUAACUGAAUACAUAGGUUAACGAGGCGAACCGGGGGAACUGAAACAUCUAAGUACCCCGAGGAAAAGAAAUCAACCGAGAUUCCCCCAGUAGCGGCGAGCGAACGGGGAGCAGCCCAGAGUCUGAAUCAGCUUGUGUGUUAGUGGAACGGUCUGGAAAGUCCGGCGAUACAGGGUGACAGCCCCGUACACGAAAGCACACAGGUUGUGAACUCGAAGAGUAGGGCGGGACACGUGGUAUCCUGUCUGAAUAUGGGGGGACCAUCCUCCAAGGCUAAAUACUCCUGACUGACCGAUAGUGAACCAGUACCGUGAGGGAAAGGCGAAAAGAACCCCGGCGAGGGGAGUGAAAAAGAACCUGAAACCGUGUACGUACAAGCAGUGGGAGCACCUUCGUGGUGUGACUGCGUACCUUUUGUAUAAUGGGUCAGCGACUUAUAUUCUGUAGCAAGGUUAACCGUAUAGGGGAGCCGAAGGGAAACCGAGUCUUAACUGGGCGUUAAGUUGCAGGGUAUAGACCCGAAACCCGGUGAUCUAGCCAUGGGCAGGUUGAAGGUUGGGUAACACUAACUGGAGGACCGAACCGACUAAUGUUGAAAAAUUAGCGGAUGACUUGUGGCUGGGGGUGAAAGGCCAAUCAAACCGGGAGAUAGCUGGUUCUCCCCGAAAGCUAUUUAGGUAGCGCCUCGUGAACUCAUCUUCGGGGGUAGAGCACUGUUUCGGCUAGGGGGCCAUCCCGGCUUACCAACCCGAUGCAAACUACGAAUACCGAAGAAUGUUAUCACGGGAGACACACGGCGGGUGCUAACGUCCGUCGUGAAGAGGGAAACAACCCAGACCGCCAGCUAAGGUCCCAAAGUCAUGGUUAAGUGGGAAACGAUGUGGGAAGGCACAGACAGCCAGGAUGUUGGCUUAGAAGCAGCCAUCAUUUAAAGAAAGCGUAAUAGCUCACUGGUCGAGUCGGCCUGCGCGGAAGAUGUAACGGGGCUAAACCAUGCACCGAAGCUGCGGCAGCGACGCUUAUGCGUUGUUGGGUAGGGGAGCGUUCUGUAAGCCGUUGAAGGUGUGCUGUGAGGCAUGCUGGAGGUAUCAGAAGUGCGAAUGCUGACAUAAGUAACGAUAAAGCGGGUGAAAAGCCCGCUCGCCGGAAGACCAAGGGUUCCUGUCCAACGUUAAUCGGGGCAGGGUGAGUCGACCCCUAAGGCGAGGCCGAAAGGCGUAGUCGAUGGGAAACAGGUUAAUAUUCCUGUACUUGGUGUUACUGCGAAGGGGGGACGGAGAAGGCUAUGUUAGCCGGGCGACGGUUGUCCCGGUUUAAGCAUGUAGGCGGAACGAUUAGGUAAAUCCGGUCGUUUAUUAACGCUGAGGUGUGAUGACGAGGCACUACGGUGCUGAAGUAACAAAUGCCCUGCUUCCAGGAAAAGCCUCUAAGCAUCAGGUAACAUCAAAUCGUACCCCAAACCGACACAGGUGGUCAGGUAGAGAAUACCAAGGCGCUUGAGAGAACUCGGGUGAAGGAACUAGGCAAAAUGGUGCCGUAACUUCGGGAGAAGGCACGCUGAUAUGUAGGUGAAGCCCCUGCGGGUGGAGCUGAAAUCAGUCGAAGAUACCAGCUGGCUGCAACUGUUUAUUAAAAACACAGCACUGUGCAAACACGAAAGUGGACGUAUACGGUGUGACGCCUGCCCGGUGCCGGAAGGUUAAUUGAUGGGGUUAGCGGCAACGCGAAGCUCUUGAUCGAAGCCCCGGUAAACGGCGGCCGUAACUAUAACGGUCCUAAGGUAGCGAAAUUCCUUGUCGGGUAAGUUCCGACCUGCACGAAUGGCGUAAUGAUGGCCAGGCUGUCUCCACCCGAGACUCAGUGAAAUUGAACUCGCUGUGAAGAUGCAGUGUACCCGCGGCAAGACGGAAAGACCCCGUGAACCUUUACUAUAGCUUGACACUGAACACUGGUCCUUGAUGUGUAGGAUAGGUGGGAGGCUUUGAAGCGUGGACGCCAGUCUGCGUGGAGCCGACCUUGAAAUACCACCCUUUAAUGGCUGGUGUUCUAACGUAGACCCGUAAUCCGGGUUGCGGACAGUGUCUGGUGGGUAGUUUGACUGGGGCGGUCUCCUCCCAAAGAGUAACGGAGGAGCACGAAGGUUAGCUAAUCCUGGUCGGACAUCAGGAGGUUAGUGCAAUGGCAUAAGCUAGCUUGACUGCGAGAGUGACGGCUCGAGCAGGUGCGAAAGCAGGUCAUAGUGAUCCGGUGGUUCUGAAUGGAAGGGCCAUCGCUCAACGGAUAAAAGGUACUCCGGGGAUAACAGGCUGAUACCGCCCAAGAGUUCAUAUCGACGGCGGUGUUUGGCACCUCGAUGUCGGCUCAUCACAUCCUGGGGCUGAAGUAGGUCCCAAGGGUAUGGCUGUUCGCCAUUUAAAGUGGUACGCGAGCUGGGUUUAGAACGUCGUGAGACAGUUCGGUCCCUAUCUGCCGUGGGCGCUGGAGAAUUGAGGGGGGCUGCUCCUAGUACGAGAGGACCGGAGUGGACGCAUCACUGGUGUUCGGGUUGUCAUGCCAAUGGCAUUGCCCGGUAGCUAAAUGCGGAAAAGAUAAGUGCUGAAAGCAUCUAAGCACGAAACUUGCCCCGAGAUGAGUUCUCCCUGACCCUUUAAGGGUCCUGAAGGAACGUUGAAGACUACGACGUUGAUAGGUCGGGUGUGUAAGCGCAGCGAUGCGUUGAGCUAACCGAUACUAAUGAACCGUGAGGCUUAACCUUACAACGCCGAAGCUGUU
This 2932-nucleotide ribosomal RNA is filed under the name Enterobacter asburiae. Its description in RNAcentral is "bacterial LSU rRNA". It matches the Rfam family "Bacterial large subunit ribosomal RNA". The record is from RNAcentral. Lineage: Bacteria; Pseudomonadati; Pseudomonadota; Gammaproteobacteria; Enterobacterales; Enterobacteriaceae.